GACGAACGCUGGCGGCGUGCUUAACACAUGCAAGUCGAACGGAAAGGCCCUGCUUUUGUGGGGUGCUCGAGUGGCGAACGGGUGAGUAACACGUGAGUAACCUGCCCUUGACUUUGGGAUAACUUCAGGAAACUGGGGCUAAUACCGGAUAGGAGCUCCUGCUGCAUGGUGGGGGUUGGAAAGUUUCGGCGGUUGGGGAUGGACUCGCGGCUUAUCAGCUUGUUGGUGGGGUAGUGGCUUACCAAGGCUUUGCCGGGUAGCCGGCCUGCGAGGGUGACCGGCCACAUUGGGACUGAGAUACGGCCCAGACUCCUACGGGAGGCAGCAGUGGGGAAUAUUGCACAAUGGGCGGAAGCCUGAUGCAGCAACGCCGCGUGCGGGAUGACGGCCUUCGGGUUGUAAACCGCUUUCGCCUGUGACGAAGCGUGAGUGACGGUAAUGGGUAAAGAAGCACCGGCUAACUACGUG
This 468-nucleotide ribosomal RNA is filed under the name uncultured bacterium. RNAcentral's name for it is "partial 16S ribosomal RNA". It matches the Rfam family "Bacterial small subunit ribosomal RNA", at positions 28 to 507 of the family's 1533-position model. The record is from RNAcentral.